RNAcentral lists this ribosomal RNA (616 nucleotides) under uncultured Dothideomycetes. RNAcentral describes it as "eukaryotic LSU rRNA". It matches the Rfam family "Eukaryotic large subunit ribosomal RNA", at positions 37 to 668 of the family's 3401-position model. Lineage: Eukaryota; Fungi; Ascomycota; Dothideomycetes. The record is from RNAcentral.
UGCAUAUCAAUAAGCGGAGGAAAAGAAACCAACAGGGAUUGCCUCAGUAACGGCGAGUGAAGCGGCAACAGCUCAAAUUUGAAAUCCGGCUCUUUUAGGGUCCGAGUUGUAAUUUGUAGAGGAUGCUUCGGCGUCGGCUCCGGUCUAAGUUCCUUGGAACAGGACGUCAUAGAGGGUGAGAAUCCCGUAUGUGAUCGGUUGCCCUUGCCAUGUGAAGCUCCUUCGACGAGUCGAGUUGUUUGGGAAUGCAGCUCUAAAUGGGAGGUAAAUUUCUUCUAAAGCUAAAUACUGGCCAGAGACCGAUAGCGCACAAGUAGAGUGAUCGAAAGAUGAAAAGCACUUUGGAAAGAGAGUCAAAAAGUACGUGAAAUUGUUGAAAGGGAAGCGCUUGCAACCAGACCUGCCUGCAGUUGCUCAUCCGGGCUUUCGCCCGGUGCACUCUCCUGCUGUCAGGCCAGCAUCAGUCCGGGCGGUCGGAUAAAGGCUUCGGGAAUGUAGCUCCUCUCGAGGAGCGUUAUAGCCCGUUGCGAAAUGCGGCCAGCCUGAACUGAGGUCCGCGCUUCGGCUAGGAUGCUGGCGUAAUGGUUGUAAGCGGCCCGUCUUGAAACACGGACCA